UGGGGAAUUUUGGACAAUGGGGGAAACCCUGAUCCAGCCAUCCCGCGUGUGCGAUGAAGGCCUUCGGGUUGUAAAGCACUUUUGUCCGGAAAGAAAUGGCUCUGGUUAAUACCUGGGGUCGAUGACGGUACCGGAAGAAUAAGGACCGGCUAACUACGUGCCAGCAGCCGCGGUAAUACGUAGGGUCCAAGCGUUAAUCGGAAUUACUGGGCGUAAAGCGUGCGCAGGCGGUUGUGCAAGACCGAUGUGAAAUCCCCGAGCUUAACUUGGGAAUUGCAUUGGUGACUGCACGGCUAGAGUGUGUCAGAGGGGGGUUAGAAUUCCACGUGUAGCAGUGAAAUGCGUAGAGAUGUGGAGGAAUACCGAUGGCGAAGGCAGCCCCCUGGGAUAACACUGACGCUCAUGCACGAAAGCGUGGGGAGCAAACAGGAUUAGAUACCCUGGUAGUCCACGCCCUAAAGCGAUGUCAACUAGUUGUUGGGGAUUCAUUUCCUUAGUAACGUAGCUAACGCGUGAAG
RNAcentral lists this ribosomal RNA (518 nucleotides) under uncultured bacterium. RNAcentral's name for it is "partial 16S ribosomal RNA". It matches the Rfam family "Bacterial small subunit ribosomal RNA", at positions 355 to 864 of the family's 1533-position model. The record is from RNAcentral.